AACGAACGCUGGCGGCGUGUCUUAAGCAUGCAAGUCGUGCGGCAAGGGCAGCAAUGCCCCUAGAGCGGCGGACUGGUGAGUAACGCGUGGGUGAUCUGCCCUUGGGAUGGGGAUAGCCACUAGAAAUAGUGGGUAAUACCGAAUACGUUCCCCCGACUGUGGUUGGGGGAGGAAAAGCGCUUCGGCGCUGCCCGAGGAUGAGCCCGCGUCCCAUUAGCUAGUUGGUGAGGUAAAGGCCCACCAAGGCGAUGAUGGGUAGGCGGCCUGAGAGGGCGUACGCCCACACUGGGACUGAGAUACGGCCCAGACUCCUACGGGAGGCAGCAGCUAAGAAUAUUCCGCAAUGGACGAAAGUCUGACGGAGCGACGCCGCGUGGAUGAAGAAGGCCGAAAGGUUGUAAAGUCCUUUGUUGGGGAAGAAUAAGCGCGGGAGGGAAUGCCCGCGUGAUGACAUGAACCGACGAAUAAGCCCGGCUAACUACGUGCCAGCAGCCGCGGUAA
This 501-nucleotide ribosomal RNA is filed under the name uncultured bacterium. Its description in RNAcentral is "bacterial SSU rRNA". It matches the Rfam family "Bacterial small subunit ribosomal RNA", at positions 29 to 523 of the family's 1533-position model. The record is from RNAcentral.